Bicyclus anynana (squinting bush brown) is the source of this 2562-nucleotide long non-coding RNA. RefSeq lists it as uncharacterized. The record is from RefSeq and is a predicted model, not a curated record. Lineage: Eukaryota; Metazoa; Arthropoda; Insecta; Lepidoptera; Nymphalidae. The transcript has 2 exons.
UCACCUAGAGUUGGGAUUAGAGAAUUUAAAUAAUAAUAAUAUGGUGCCGAAAGCAUAUCGUGUGAACGAAGCAGUUCCUUCCCGACCCUUCCUCUAGAUUAUGAUUAUUGUGAACAAUAAUUAAAUUUCAGUUACGAUUACGUACUUUCCCACCGAGUGAGAUUUCUCCCCUUGCAUAAGUACAGGUAAAGAUGGAUAGGUAAGACGCACGGAGGGUCGAAAUCAAUGGAACAAAGAAAAGGGGGGCCUUUGUAUGCGUUUACGCAAGGAUAACACGUGCGCAAACGAUCCCACGGUUUUGUAGGGAGGAUAUUUCGGGACCCAUAUAUAAAGCUCCACACAUUGCAGAAAUAUCAUUAUCAAAUCAUUGGAGCAAGAGUGCAGAGCACCGGGGACCCGGCGGGUCCCCGGGUUAACUCAUUUAUGCAUAAGCUGCUCGUAUAAACGUCUUCAAAGUUGCCAUCACUAGUUUGUCAAUUAAAACUCGGAAGCAGAAGUGAAGUUAAUUAAUGUUUAUGUAACUAAAAGCAGUUUCGUUUCGUGAAAAACAUCUUCGGGAAGUUUGCCGCACGAUUGUAGCAGCGGCACCAUUUUCGAAUAUUUAUGGAUGUCCUUUCCGUGAAAAUAUAUUCAAAUGAAAAGGGGAGGAUUUUUUAGAAAACCACAAAUUACACUGUCAGAUGUCGGUACAACGCAACAAGUCAAACGGUGAAAAUGGAUAUACUUUAGUGGAUGCCCAAAGAUAGAUUUAGGAUUAGAAUAGGGUUUUCUGUUAGGUAGGUUUUAGGCUGUAGGCAUUUUCUUUGUCCUUAUCAUUAGUUUCGAGAUAACUUCAAAGUAUAAGUAACGAAGUGAUUUUUCUAUAACUGAUUAGUUUUUCAUUUGCUCAAAAGUGCCUUAAUGUACGGUCUUGUUUUAUUCAUGUUUUUUUUCGUUUCAUCGUUAAAUAUCCUGUGGAUUGUUUACUUUCAACUUGUAAUUGUUACAAAACAAAAAAAAAAAUGUUAGUGUUUGGAUUCAGUUGUUCUUCUGUAAGUUAUUCUUUUUUAAGUUUGAUGAUCACUUUAUGUUAAAAGUUACCUUUAAAAUAUAUAGUUACGUUUUGUGAUUGACAGUUUAAUUGUUUUGAACUGUGACAGAAACGAUUAUAAUUGUUGUGAACCUGAAAAUUAGUUAUUUGACUUAACAGUAAAAAAAAAUAUCAACCUUUUAGUAGUUUUCGAUGCGGUACGUCAGUGUAAAACUUGUUGCCUUCUUUUUAAGUGUUACGUUUUUGUUGAAAAAAUCUGUUUGUUUUGUAAAAGUUAUUGUUAUGUUCUUGUUGGCAAUCACGUUAUCAAUUCGUUAAGUUUGAAAAUAGCCUUAAAAACCACCAUUGUUCCAAAUUCAAAUUCGAUUUUGUUAAAACCGUUGAAUUUCAGUUUUGUUGUUUAAUGCGUAAGAAACAUUUCAAGUUUUCAUGAAACAUCUUCAUUUCAAGUUUUGUUAAUUUGCCAGUUACUGUUAAAUAAUUUUGUUUUGUUUCUUGUUGCUGCCGUGUCGUUAUCGCGUUAUGUUGAAGUUGUUCUUUGGUAUUGUUGAAUCAGUUAAGUUUAUGUUAUGAACCUAUUCAGUAACACGUGCACCCAAAUAGAACAUACACUUUUGUUAUUUGUUGUUGUAAGUGCGUAUUAUUUUCUCAAAAAUUUAAUUCUGCAAUAGUUGCUCACUAAAAGAAUCAAGAAGUGCCUUAUGCUACCCAAAAGUGCCUAAUUAUUGUUGUUUACGCUUGUAGGAUAUUGCGGUGCCUUCUGUUAGAGUUUUGAUAUUAAAACUUUAUCAGGAUGCUUUCUAAAGUUUUGAAAUUACCGUGUCUAGCAAGUGUACUAAAGUAUGUACCUCUACUUAGUACUUAAGUUUUUAAACGUGAUAGUUCAAAGACUUAAAUUUGAAAAUUAUUUUUUUAUAUUCGACGCGGUAAUCAAAACUUUUUUAAACGGUCUAGUGAAUAUUUUGUCCCCUUUUCAAAAUUACAGUAUAAUGUACACAUAGCAAUACCAGUAAUUAUUAUUUUAAUAAUUUUGUACGGAUUCCAGCACAUACGAGCGUCAUCACUGAUUUUAAAUAAACUCAGCUUAAACAUUUUACAAAUAAAGUAUAUUAAUGUGUGGCGCCUGGGGGAUAAAAUACUCAUUACGCUGCUAUUGUUACUUGUUUCGUAACUCGUUGGUUAUUAAAUUCUGUUCAUGUUAAGUAAUUUUAAGCGUUGAAUUGUUGUUAAGUUAAAACGUUUAUGUUGUUGAUUGAAAUGGCUGUGUUUGUUAGUUUUAUGUUAAGUUUUCGUUUUAACUGUUAGUGUUGUUUUUUUUGCUACACCGUCAUUAAGGCCCGUCAAUUUUGAAUUGUCUGAAGUUUCCAAUAAUGUUUCCGUGUGUGUAUUAUCGUGUAAGUUUAUGUUAAGUCGUGUAAGGUUAAAACUGAAGCUUUGUGUAAAAUUAACAAAUAAGUUUUGAUUAUUUAUUAGGGACGUAAGAAAGACAUUGUGUGAGUUGUGUGUGUGAAAUAAAUUAAUAACUAAUAAAA